CCUACGGGUGGCAGCAGUGGGGAAUAUUGCACAAUGGGGGAAACCCUGAUGCAGCGACGCCGCGUGAGUGAAGAAGUAUUUCGGUAUGUAAAGCUCUAUCAGCAGGGAAGAAAAUGACGGUACCUAACUAAUAAGCCCCGGCUAACUCCGUGCCAGCAGCCGCGGUAAUACGUAGGGGGCAAGCGUUACCCGGAUUUACUGGGUGUAAAGGGAGCGUAGGCGGGAGCCCAAGUCAGAGGUGAAAUGCCGGGGCUUAACCCUGGAACUGCUUUUGAAACUGUUCAGCUAGAGUGCAGGAGAGGUAGGUGGAAUUCCUAGUGUAGCGGUGAAAUGCGUAGAGAUUAGGAGGAACACCAGUGGCGAAGGCGGCCUACUGGACCGUAACUGACGUUGAGGCUCGAAAGCGUGGGGAGCAAACAGGAUUAGAUACCCGGGUAGUC
RNAcentral lists this ribosomal RNA (440 nucleotides) under uncultured bacterium. Its description in RNAcentral is "partial 16S ribosomal RNA". It matches the Rfam family "Bacterial small subunit ribosomal RNA", at positions 338 to 795 of the family's 1533-position model. The record is from RNAcentral.